AUUGAACGCUGGCGGCAGGCCUAACACAUGCAAGUCGGACGAGCGGCGGACGGGUGAGUAAUGUCUGGGAAUCUGCCUGAUGGAGGGGGAUAACUACUGGAAACGGUAGCUAAUACCGCAUACCAUCAGAUGAACCCAUAUGGGAUUAGCUAGUAGGUAAGGUAACGGCUUACCUAGGCGACGCUCCCUAGCUGGUCUGAGAGGAUGAUCAGCCACACGGGGACUGAGACACGGCCCAGACUCCUACGGGAGGCAGCAGUGGGGAAUAUUGCACAAUGGGCGCAAGCAUGAUGCAGCCAUGCCGCGUGUAUGAAGAAGGCCUUCGGGUUGUAAAGUACUUUCAGUGGGGAGGCGUUACUGACAGAAGAAGCACCGGCUAACUCCGUGCCAGCAGCCGCGGUAAUUC
This 406-nucleotide ribosomal RNA is filed under the name uncultured bacterium. RNAcentral describes it as "partial 16S ribosomal RNA". It matches the Rfam family "Bacterial small subunit ribosomal RNA", at positions 30 to 526 of the family's 1533-position model. The record is from RNAcentral.